Molecule: unclassified non-coding RNA, 301 nt
Organism: Cricetulus griseus (Chinese hamster)
Lineage: Eukaryota; Metazoa; Chordata; Mammalia; Rodentia; Cricetidae
Gene: 7SK
Rfam family: 7SK RNA
About the family: 7SK was discovered as an abundant small nuclear RNA in the mid-70s but a possible function has only recently been suggested.
Source: Ensembl
GGCGAGAGAGCAGCCUGGCUGUUGGAUCUUUCAUCCCGUUGAUCACCAGGAUCGAUUCAGCUGAGGUGGCUGGCUAGGUGGGUGUCCCAUUCUUCCCUCAGUAGUCAUGUGAAUCUCUGCCAAAUCUAUGUGCCUGUUUGAAGACAACGAUCUUCCCCAAAACAGGAAUUCUAUCAAAGGUUUAUAAGUAGCUGUACUCCCUUGCUGGAACCUCCAAACAAGCUCUCAAACCACCACAGUCUACUCUUCGGAAAUGCGUAAUUACUAGCGUCUUUAACACCUACCAGUGUGGAAGUAUGAU